UCCUCGUUUAAGCGAGGCAGUCUGUCCAGAGUGCUUCGAACUCUCGUUCGAGUGGCAACAGGACACAAGGGUUGCGCUCGUUGCGGGACUUAACCCAACAUCUCACGACACGAGCUGACGACAGCCAUGCAGCACCUGUGCAUACUGGUAUUGCUACCUCGUCAGGCUUUCACCCUUCUACUAUAUGCAUGUCAAGGCCAGGUAAGGUUCUUCGCGUUGCAUCGAAUUAAGCCACAUACUCCACCGCUUGUGCAGGCCCCCGUCAAUUUCUUUGAGUUUUAAUCUUGCGACCGUACUUCCCAGGCGGCACAUUUAUCGCGUUAGCUUCGCCACAAAAGGGGUCGAUUCCUUUUACAGCAAAUGUGCACCGUUUACAGCCGGGACUAC
This 387-nucleotide unclassified non-coding RNA is filed under the name uncultured Verrucomicrobiae bacterium. RNAcentral describes it as "contains 16S-23S intergenic spacer region". The record is from RNAcentral. Lineage: Bacteria; Pseudomonadati; Verrucomicrobiota; Verrucomicrobiia.